UGCGUAGGCGGUUUAUUAAGUCAGAUGUGAAAGCCCCGGGCUUAACCCGGGAACUGCAUUUGAUACUGGUAGACUAGAGUAUGGUAGAGGGGGGUAGAAUUCCUAGUGUAGCGGUGAAAUGCGUAGAUAUUAGGAGGAAUACCAGUGGCGAAGGCGGCCCCCUGGACCAAUACUGACGCUGAGGUACGAAAGCGUGGGUAGCGAACA
This 207-nucleotide ribosomal RNA is filed under the name uncultured bacterium. RNAcentral describes it as "partial 16S ribosomal RNA". It matches the Rfam family "Bacterial small subunit ribosomal RNA", at positions 568 to 774 of the family's 1533-position model. The record is from RNAcentral.